UACGUAGGGGGCUAGCGUUGUCCGGAUUUAUUGGGCGUAAAGAGCGUGUAGGCGGCCAGGUAGGUCUGCUGUGAAAACUCGAGGCUCAACCUCGAGACGUCGGCGGAAACCAUCUGGCUAGAGUCCGGAAGAGGAGAGUGGAAUUCCUGGUGUAGCGGUGAAAUGCGCAGAUAUCAGGAAGAACACCCGUGGCGAAGGCGGCUCUCUGGGCCGGUACUGACGCUGAGGAGCGAAAGCGUGGGGAGCGAACAGG
Molecule: ribosomal RNA, 253 nt
Filed under: uncultured bacterium
Lineage: Bacteria
Description: partial 16S ribosomal RNA
Rfam family: Bacterial small subunit ribosomal RNA
Source: RNAcentral